CGGAGGGUGCAAGCGUUAAUCGGAAUAACUGGGCGUAAAGGGCAUGUAGGCGGAUAGUCAAGUAAGGUGUGAAAGCCCCGGGCUCAACCUGGGAACUGCACUUUAAACUAACUAUCUAGAGUAUUGCAGAGGGAAAUGGAAUUCCAGGUGUAGCGGUGAAAUGCGUAGAUAUCUGGAAGAACACCAGAGGCGAAGGCGAUUUCCUGGACAGAUACUGACGCUGAGGUGCGAAAGCGUGGGGGAGCAAACAGGAUU
Molecule: ribosomal RNA, 255 nt
Filed under: uncultured bacterium
Lineage: Bacteria
Description: partial 16S ribosomal RNA
Rfam family: Bacterial small subunit ribosomal RNA
Source: RNAcentral